GACGAACGCUGGCGGCGUGCUUAACACAUGCAAGUCGAACGAAAAGGCCCUGCUUUUGUGGCGUGCUCGUGUGGCAAACGGGUGAGUAACACGCGAGUAACCUCCCCUUGUCUUUGGGAUAACUUCACGAAACUGCGGCUCAUACCGGAUAUGAGCUCCUGCUGCACGGUGGUGGUUGGAAAGUUCCGGCUGUUGGGGAUGGACUCGCUGCUUAUCAGCUUGAUGGUGGGGUAGUGGCUUACCAAGGCUUUGACGGGUACCCGGCCUGAGAGCGCGACCGGGGUCAUUGGGACUGAGAGACGGACCAGAAUGCUACGGGAGGCAGCAGGGGAGAAUAUUGCACAAUGGGCGGAAGCCUGAUGCAGCAACGCCGCGUGCGGGAUGACGGCCUUCGGGUUGUAAACCGCUGUCGCCUGUGACAAAGCGGGAGUGACGGUAAUGGGUAAAGAAGCACCGGCUAACUACGUG
RNAcentral lists this ribosomal RNA (468 nucleotides) under uncultured bacterium. Its description in RNAcentral is "partial 16S ribosomal RNA". It matches the Rfam family "Bacterial small subunit ribosomal RNA", at positions 28 to 507 of the family's 1533-position model. The record is from RNAcentral.